Molecule: ribosomal RNA, 2337 nt
Filed under: Phellinidium ferrugineofuscum
Lineage: Eukaryota; Fungi; Basidiomycota; Agaricomycetes; Hymenochaetales; Hymenochaetaceae
Description: small subunit ribosomal RNA
Rfam family: Bacterial small subunit ribosomal RNA (bases 9-1650)
Source: RNAcentral
UAUCGUAGGAAUUUAAUUUUGGUUCCGAUUGAACGUUUUUCAGUAGUUUUAAGACAUGCAAAUCGUUGUACAUGGUUAAUAGAUAUUUAAAUGUAUAAGGUGUAGGGGUGAGUAUUGUAAAUGAGAUACCCUUGUAGACUUCUAAAUAGAAGAUAGUUCCUUUUCAAACAAUUAUAACAAAUAAACUGAUUACUUAUUAUAAAUAUUAAUAUAAUAAUCAUUGAGAAUUAGUUCUUUCUUUUUUAUUAAAUGUUUGAUAUUCUGAAAGAUAUAAAGAACUCUUAAGAAUAAUAUAAUAUAAAGGACCAAAAAAAGGUAAACUUAACAAAACAAAGGAAAUUUUCCGCAACAAGGAUUCAAUUUACAUUCGAUUAGGUAGUUGGAAGGGUAGAAGCCUCACAAGCCGACGAUCGAUAGUCAAGUUUGAUAGAACUAAUGACCACAUUGGGAAUGAAAUAUCCCAAGUAACGAUAGGUUACCAGCAGUCAAGAAUUUUAGUCAAUGCUCGCAAGAGUGAACUAGCUAACUGAAAUCCUCGGGGUGUCCCCAGGGAUAACGUAAGGGAAAAUAAUGAUAUUACCUUACUAUUAGUGUCGUCCAAGUACUCGUGCCAGAAGACUCGGUAACGCGAGAGACGCAAACGUUAAUCCUCCUGAUCAGGCGUAAAGGGUUUGUAGGCUGGUUUAAGUAUAUUUUUUUUUAGUUUACUGUUUUAAUGUUUAAUUAGUUUCCUAGAACUAUAAGACUAGGUAAAGGUUUCUUUUCAAUGUUAAAGAUUAAUUUUAUUAAAACCUUUAAUUUUACAUUAAAAUUCUAAAACAAAAAUAUCAAUUAAACCUAGAAUCUAAUAUAGGUUAAAACAAUACUUGUGGUAGGUGUGUGAACCGUAAAUAAUAAGCAGAGUGUUAAUGGCGAAGGCUUUUAUCCGCUAAAGAUUGACGCUGAGAAACGAAGGUGGGGAAAGAAAAAAGGAUUAGAGACCCUUGUAUCCCUCACUGUAAACGAUGAAUGGUAGUCACUAGAUAGCAAUAAUCUUGAGGCAAUGUUAACACGAAAACCAUUCCGCCUUGUUAGUACGACUGCAAAGUUGAAAACAAAAAAAUUAGUCGGUUUCGGAGCAAACGAAGUGAAGCAUGUUAUUUAAUACGAUAAUCCGCGUAAAACCUUACCAGUCCUUGUAUAUUAAAUAUUUUAUAUAUAGUAAAAAUCAUACUAAAUAUUCGGCCUUAGGCUAUAAAAUAUAUCUUGUUACUAAUAAAUAAAAUAAUUAUUUUAUAAUAUAUUAUAACAGAUACUUAAUACAGGUGUUGCAUGGCUGUCUUCAGUCCGUAUUGUGAAAAGUUAGGUUAAAUCCGUUAACGGACGCAAUCCCUGUUAUUAAUUUCUACUUAAUAAUAUGACGCUGAGAAGGUGUCAGUUGGGGCUAAGACAAGCCUUUAUGGCCCUCAUGGACUGGGCUAUAGACGUGCUAUAAAGAUUUUCACAAAGUGAUGCAAAAUGUAGUUACUGAUCCUCCAUUAUUUUUAUUAAUUUUUAAUUUUUAAUUUUAAUAUAAAUCUUGGAGGUAUUAAUUUUAUUUAAAAUAUUAAGCUUUUUUUAAUUUAAUAAAUUUCAUCUGGAUACGCGGCAUUAAGCAAGCUUACUAUCAUAAAUUUGUUAUUUAACUUUCUGUUAAGUGCGGAGCGAUUCUAUCUUCUAAUAAGAAAUAGUGUUCUUCGGACUGUAAUUUAACAUCUUUUUAGGAGGAUGAUUAAAAUAGGCAGAUUAGUUAUAAUUUAAACGUAUCUAAUAACUCAAUUUAAAUAUCCUCUGUCAGAUAGGAGGAGUUAUUGUUGUUAUUUUUAAUAUACACUUAAUAUUUUGUAAAGAGUAAAAAAGAAUUGAGCUAAUCAUUAAAAAAAAUCAUAAUAUUAAAUUAACGUUACGGAUUGUUGCCUGAAACUCGGUGACAUGAAGGAGGAAUUUCGAGUAAUCGUUGAUCAUUAGGCGCAACGGUGAAGCUUUAAUCCGAUAUGAACUAACCGUCUGUCGCUGGGAAGAAGCUUAAUAUGGUGGAAAAUAUGUUCAGAGUCUAAAUUUUAGUAUUUUAUAUUACUUUAUCUUUAUUUUUAAUCUUACAUCUUAAUUGAUUGAGGUUUAAAUAAGAAUCAAAUUAGAUUAGAUCACUUUGAUAAUACAAAGUACAGGUAGAGUAAUAGAAUAGAAAAAGCUUUAUAUUUUUAUAUAAAAUAGUUUCAAGUUUAAUUUUUAAUUUGAAGUAUUUAAGCUGUUUGAGUAACAUCUCAAAAGUCAUAGCAGGGUAGUUGUACCGGAAGGUGCAGCUGGAAAAUUGGUAAA